Molecule: small nuclear RNA, 119 nt
Filed under: Chrysemys picta bellii (western painted turtle)
Lineage: Eukaryota; Metazoa; Chordata; Testudines; Emydidae
Description: U4 spliceosomal RNA (ENSCPBG00000028290.1)
Rfam family: U4 spliceosomal RNA
About the family: U4 small nuclear RNA (U4 snRNA) is a component of the major U2-dependent spliceosome. The structure of U4 snRNA from yeast and human has been reported.
Source: RNAcentral
GGGCAGUAUCAUAGCCAAUGAAGUUAAUCUGAGGUGUGAUUAUUGCUAGUUGAAAACUGUUAAAAAAUACAUUUCAGAGAACAAAGGGGACACUCUUUCUCAGUGAAACAGGCAAUUCA